Molecule: small RNA, 514 nt
Filed under: Pongo abelii (Sumatran orangutan)
Lineage: Eukaryota; Metazoa; Chordata; Mammalia; Primates; Hominidae
Description: retained intron
Source: RNAcentral
CCCUUUUCUCCCCUUUUUAUUACUCUGCUGCAUUCUGCCAUUCAUUUCCUUUCCUCUUACCCCUUCCCUCUCUGAUUCAUCAUUUAGCCAAGCACAUGCCUCUCCAGAGCCAGCUGUCUGCUGCUUCAGGAAGAACAUAAGCACCCUUUCCCCUCCAACACACUUUGUAUUAACUAGUCCUUGGAAAUUUGACUUGAAAUCUUGAAAGGAAAAGAGUUAACAGUGUUUUUCUUCCUGUUUAGUUUCUGGCUUGGGCUUUGGAAUCAUGAGUGGAGUAUUUUCCUUUGUGAAUACCCUAUCUGACUCCUUGGGGCCAGGCACAGUGGGCAUUCAUGGAGAUUCUCCUCAAUUCUUCCUUUAUUCAGCUUUCAUGACGCUGGUCAUCAUCUUGCUGCAUGUGUUCUGGGGCAUUGUAUUUUUUGAUGGCUGUGAGAAGAAAAAGUGGGGCAUCCUCCUUAUCGUUCUCCUGACCCACCUGCUGGUGUCAGCCCAGGUGAGUGUUGCCGCCGUGCUC